UCAAAUGAAAUGAGAAUAAUCAGUGGAAAAUGGAAAAUAUCUAUCUAUCUAUCUAUCUAUCAUCUAUCUAUCUAAUUUUCUUGCAUUUGUGGAUGUGUGGGUGAUUGGAUGCUUUCAGCAGUAUAGUGUAGGUUUCACCUAACGCUUCAGGGGCUGUUUGUGAGAAAGUGAUUAUGAAAAAUGAAAACUGAAAGACAAAAAUCAAGAUUUUUAUUGGUGUCUCAGUUAAAAACAUUUAAGUGGUUAAAAACAUUUUUAUCUUUCGUUUACAAAGGAAUGUCACUGUGGCAAUUACAGGUGGUUAAGAGAUUAACAUUCCCUGCACAUCACCACCUGUCAUGAGACACUUCCUCAUACCAAAUCAUUCAGCGAGGAGAAAGCAGAUAAAAUGUGUGUGAGUCAAAGUGAGGCUGUGUUUGGAGGUGUUUGCGCACAGAGAUGAACACAUUUACCAUGUCUCUCUCUUUGCUACUGCUGCUGCUGGUUUACAGCACGCAAGCUACUCAUUUUUAUGGGACAGUGAUGACCUAUUACCCAGGAGACACUUAUGCAGAUGGAUCAGUUAUGGCGACUAUUCGAUACAAGCUGAACUUCCACCAAUGCACAGACAGUGACACAUGGAGUUGCCUCAGUGGUGACUGUGGCUCUGGGAACAACACACUAUAUGAGGUAAAACAGGAAAGCAGUGGAGAGUGGUGUCAGAGAGAGGGAAUCAUGACUCGACGGGCUCCCAGCAAUGCUCCGUUCAAGCUUUGGUUGAAUAGUGGUAACUGGAUUAAUGGCAUUGUAAAUGGCAUUGUAUCAUGGAGAGCUGUGACUCUGGUGGAACUGAGGAACAGAUCUGACACCGGCAAAGCCAACUCGUCACCCCAGACCACCAACAUACCUGCUGUGAGAGUUCCCUCAAACUGUAAGAGAAAUUUCGUCUUGUUGGCGUUUGACCCUGAUGGAGAUGUGGUUAAGUGCAGAAAUGGAGAUGCAUUACUGUCAGAGUGUAUUCCAUGCACUCCACCAUCUGUCCUCAGCCUCUCACCAUCUUGUACUCUGUCAUUCAGACCCACCAAUAGCAGUAAUGAAGGUCCAUAUGCAGUACAGCUGGUGAUGGAGGACUUUCCCCGGCAGAACAUAACCCUGACUCAAACCAAUGGGACACAGACUAAUCUAACUACCAACAAUGCAAUCAGCAAAAUACCGGUCCAGUUUGUUAUAAGGGUGGAUCCUGCAGUGCCAUCCUGCACAGACGGACUCUAUCUGCCCAAGUUCCUGCCUCCAACUCCAGCCAACGGAGCUCAGCUAUAUACCCCUGUUGGACAAACUCUAGAAAUCAGCAUCAAAGCAGAGGCAACAAAUUCCAUGAUCUCUGAGCUGCUCUACAGUGGGCCCUACACUUUAUUUCAAAAUAAAACAGGACCAGGAGAGUUCAUCCUCACGUGGACGCCAUCUGAGAGCGAAACGGGAGAAAGCCACCCCAUCUGUUUUGUUGUCCAGGCAGUUUCUGGUAUAGCGAAGUAUCACUCUGACUUUCGAUGCGUCAUUGUGACUGUUGAAAAGGUUUAUGUCGCUGCCCUGAGUGCGAGGAUCUCUUUUUCAUUGCCUUUUACUGCAGACAACGUUAACAGUGUCAUCAUACAGAAGAUUAAAGAAGAACUGGAGAAACAAGGUCUGCCGCCAGAUGCGAGUCUACGCCUAGUGAGAGGAGACCAAAUAUAA
RNAcentral lists this long non-coding RNA (1710 nucleotides) under Oreochromis niloticus (Nile tilapia). RNAcentral's name for it is "lncRNA (ENSONIG00000024911.2)". The record is from RNAcentral. Lineage: Eukaryota; Metazoa; Chordata; Actinopteri; Cichliformes; Cichlidae.